UUAAAUUGAAGAGUUUGAUCAUGGCUCAGAUUGAACGCUGGCGGCAGGCCUAACACAUGCAAGUCGAACGGUAACAGGAAGCAGCUUGCUGCUUCGCUGACGAGUGGCGGACGGGUGAGUAAUGUCUGGGAAACUGCCUGAUGGAGGGGGAUAACUACUGGAAACGGUAGCUAAUACCGCAUAACGUCGCAAGACCAAAGAGGGGGACCUUCGGGCCUCUUGCCAUCGGAUGUGCCCAGAUGGGAUUAGCUUGUUGGUGGGGUAACGGCUCACCAAGGCGACGAUCCCUAGCUGGUCUGAGAGGAUGACCAGCCACACUGGAACUGAGACACGGUCCAGACUCCUACGGGAGGCAGCAGUGGGGAAUAUUGCACAAUGGGCGCAAGCCUGAUGCAGCCAUGCCGCGUGUAUGAAGAAGGCCUUCGGGUUGUAAAGUACUUUCAGCGGGGAGGAAGGGAGUAAAGUUAAUACCUUUGCUCAUUGACGUUACCCGCAGAAGAAGCACCGGCUAACUCCGUGCCAGCAGCCGCGGUAAUACGGAGGGUGCAAGCGUUAAUCGGAAUUACUGGGCGUAAAGCGCACGCAGGCGGUUUGUUAAGUCAGAUGUGAAAUCCCCGGGCUCAACCUGGGAACUGCAUCUGAUACUGGCAAGCUUGAGUCUCGUAGAGGGGGGUAGAAUUCCAGGUGUAGCGGUGAAAUGCGUAGAGAUCUGGAGGAAUACCGGUGGCGAAGGCGGCCCCCUGGACGAAGACUGACGCUCAGGUGCGAAAGCGUGGGGAGCAAACAGGAUUAGAUACCCUGGUAGUCCACGCCGUAAACGAUGUCGACUUGGAGGUUGUGCCCUUGAGGCGUGGCUUCCGGAGCUAACGCGUUAAGUCGACCGCCUGGGGAGUACGGCCGCAAGGUUAAAACUCAAAUGAAUUGACGGGGGCCCGCACAAGCGGUGGAGCAUGUGGUUUAAUUCGAUGCAACGCGAAGAACCUUACCUGGUCUUGACAUCCACGGAAGUUUUCAGAGAUGAGAAUGUGCCUUCGGGAACCGUGAGACAGGUGCUGCAUGGCUGUCGUCAGCUCGUGUUGUGAAAUGUUGGGUUAAGUCCCGCAACGAGCGCAACCCUUAUCCUUUGUUGCCAGCGGUCCGGCCGGGAACUCAAAGGAGACUGCCAGUGAUAAACUGGAGGAAGGUGGGGAUGACGUCAAGUCAUCAUGGCCCUUACGACCAGGGCUACACACGUGCUACAAUGGCGCAUACAAAGAGAAGCGACCUCGCGAGAGCAAGCGGACCUCAUAAAGUGCGUCGUAGUCCGGAUUGGAGUCUGCAACUCGACUCCAUGAAGUCGGAAUCGCUAGUAAUCGUGGAUCAGAAUGCCACGGUGAAUACGUUCCCGGGCCUUGUACACACCGCCCGUCACACCAUGGGAGUGGGUUGCAAAAGAAGUAGGUAGCUUAACCUUCGGGAGGGCGCUUACCACUUUGUGAUUCAUGACUGGGGUGAAGUCGUAACAAGGUAACCGUAGGGGAACCUGCGGUUGGAUCACCUCCUUCCCUU
This 1548-nucleotide ribosomal RNA is filed under the name Escherichia coli. RNAcentral describes it as "bacterial SSU rRNA". It matches the Rfam family "Bacterial small subunit ribosomal RNA". Lineage: Bacteria; Pseudomonadati; Pseudomonadota; Gammaproteobacteria; Enterobacterales; Enterobacteriaceae. The record is from RNAcentral.